RNAcentral lists this long non-coding RNA (369 nucleotides) under Ovis aries (sheep). RNAcentral's name for it is "lncRNA (ENSOARG00000026962.1)". The record is from RNAcentral. Lineage: Eukaryota; Metazoa; Chordata; Mammalia; Artiodactyla; Bovidae.
CCACAUUCCAUCUAACACCAGUGAUGGAGGCCUCAGGGCCAACCUAUCAUUGAGUAAUCCAUCUUUACAAUUUCACUUUAGAGACUGCUUCCAGGAUCAUCCUGGAUCCAUUGGCUUGCAGCUGUUUCCUGGAAACAGAGAUGGAAAACUGAAGAUUGAUUUCAUACUUUCUCUCCAGAUGAACCUUAUCAAAAGAGCCACAUGACACCGACAUGUUUCCUAGAAGUGCUCUCACUUCCUAAUGGAUGUAUUUCAUUAUAACCCAGGAUUCAUCAUGAUUCAGAGUACUGUGGUUUUGAAAUGAUUAAUAUGUUAGGGUUGUAAUAAUGUGAGUCAUAUAAAGGGGGAAAGAUGUGAGGAAAUAAAAAC